Molecule: ribosomal RNA, 251 nt
Filed under: uncultured prokaryote
Description: partial 16S rRNA
Rfam family: Bacterial small subunit ribosomal RNA
Source: RNAcentral
ACGAAGGGGGCUAGCGUUGCUCGGAAUCACUGGGCGUAAAGGGCGCGUAGGCGGACAGCUAAGUCAGGGGUGAAAUCCCGAGGCUCAACCUCGGAAUUGCCCUUGAUACUGGUUGUCUUGAGAUCGGAAGAGGUAAGUGGAAUUGCGAGUGGAGGGGUUACAUUCGUAGAUAUUCCCAGGAGCACCAGUGGCGAGGGCUACUUACAGUUCCGUAUCCGACUCUGAUGCGCGAAAUCGUUGGUUACAAAAAG